This is a non-coding RNA of Miniopterus natalensis, 590 nucleotides long. NCBI's taxonomy places the organism in Eukaryota, Metazoa, Chordata, Mammalia, Chiroptera, Miniopteridae. The record is from RefSeq and is a predicted model, not a curated record.
AAAGGCCUGACUUAUGUGGUCUCUGAUGUGCUGCCCCGGCCUGCCUGAGGAAGAGGGAUUUGUGUCCGGGCUGCUGGGAGACCUGCCUUGCCUGUGAUCUCGCCAUCACAAAGUAGUAGGCAUCUAGUAACUAAUGGAUGUCUCUGGACACAUCACGAUGUCUACAGGCUGUCGUCGGGGGAGCCUAUCCAGCUCUUGGGAAUGAAGAGCUGAGCGAAGAGCAGUGAUUACUCACUCCGUUCCCCAAUGCUUGAAGCUGGACAGACUCGCCCGCACACCACGCUUGGACGGGCUCUCAGAAGCAAGCUGCACACGCUAUGGGUGGAAGUAGCUGCAUAUUUUAAACAAUAUCCACUAGUAAUAUUUAAAUAAUGUGCUCCUUUCUUCCCCCUGAAAGUCUGCUCACACUCACUCUAGUCUUCUGGGUUGAACUCUUAGCAAUAUAGCCAUAUACUCGGAAUGAAUGCUCUCGGGCUCUGCUCUUGACAGUUUGAGCCUCGGCACUGCUAUGGUUUUCAUUUGUCUGCUGCUCUAGUCUUGGGGACACACACACACACACACACACAUACACCCCAUCUCACUUUAACACA